RNAcentral lists this ribosomal RNA (262 nucleotides) under uncultured bacterium. RNAcentral's name for it is "partial 16S ribosomal RNA". It matches the Rfam family "Bacterial small subunit ribosomal RNA", at positions 96 to 355 of the family's 1533-position model. The record is from RNAcentral.
UGGCGGACGGGUGAGUAACGCGUGGGGAACCUGCCCUGUACCGGGGGAUAGCAGCCGGAAACGGCUGAUAAUACCGCAUAAGCGCACGAAUGUCGCAUGACAUGGUGGUGAAAAACUCCGGUGGUAUAGGAUGGACCCGCGUCUGAUUAGCCUGUUGGUGGGGUAAAAGCCUACCAAAGCGAAGAUCAGUAGCCGAGUUGAGAGACUGACCGGCCACAUUGGGACUGAGACACGGCCCAGACUCCUACGGGAGGCAGCAGUA